CCAUGAUGGAAAUGUGUCAGAACACACCGUGCAUUGGAGUUUGUGGCGUAUGGGACUCUUUAGCCGCAGACCUGUCAGAGUGCCCAUGAUGACCCCUGUCCACCGGUAAAAGCACUUUCAUUGGGGAUGUGAGUGUCAGAACUGGACAAUGAAGCAAUAGAAGAAGGUUGUCUAGUCUGAAUCACAUUUUCUUUCAUCGCAGCUGUUUUGGCAGCACAAGGGGACCUACACAAUAUUAAGCAGGUAGGUUUUAAUAUUGUGGCUGAUCGGUAUAACAGUAUAAAUGUGUAAAAUUUAACACUGUCUGGGUUAGUUACUAAAUUGAGAAUUCUCUCUUCUAUAUUUUUAUUCGAGAUCCACAAAGAAACCUUCACCUCUUCUGCACCAGGUGUUACCCUUAUGAUUUCUAAUUGGACCAAAUCCGCAUUGUCUAUUUUUUGUAUCUGUUUUUUGUUUUGUGAUGUGCCUAAACUUUGUGUCUCAAAUUCUUUUAGUUGGUACAUGGACGUUACGACUCCCCUUCCUUCUUCCAGCUCAGGCCAGAUUCUGGUGUAUUUUUAUGUUCAUCACCACACAAGCUGAUAUCUACUACUACGUUGGCUAGAUGGAUUUGAAGGUUUUUGGUCCCCGGGGGCGUUGAUAUGUCCUUUC
Pelobates cultripes (western spadefoot toad) is the source of this 651-nucleotide non-coding RNA. NCBI's taxonomy places the organism in Eukaryota, Metazoa, Chordata, Amphibia, Anura, Pelobatidae. The record is from the annotation of a GenBank genome assembly.